UACGGGGGGGGCAAGCGUUGUUCGGAAUUACUGGGCGUAAAGGGCUCGUAGGCGGCCAACUAAGUCGGACGUGAAAUCCCCAGGCUCAACCUGGGAACUGCGUCCGAUACUGGAUGGCUUGAAUCCGGGAGAGGGAUGCAGAAUUCCAGGUGUAGCGGUGAAAUGCGUAGAUAUCUGGAGGAAUACCGGUGGCGAAGGCGGCAUCCUGGACCGGCAUUGACGCUGAUGCGCGAAAGCCAGGGGAGCGAACGGG
This 253-nucleotide ribosomal RNA is filed under the name uncultured bacterium. RNAcentral describes it as "partial 16S ribosomal RNA". It matches the Rfam family "Bacterial small subunit ribosomal RNA", at positions 524 to 776 of the family's 1533-position model. The record is from RNAcentral.